This 492-nucleotide ribosomal RNA is filed under the name uncultured bacterium. RNAcentral's name for it is "partial 16S ribosomal RNA". It matches the Rfam family "Bacterial small subunit ribosomal RNA", at positions 29 to 507 of the family's 1533-position model. The record is from RNAcentral.
AGUGAACGCUGGCGGUAGGCCUAACACAUGCAAGUCGAACGGCAGCACAGUAAGAGCUUGCUCUUACGGGUGGCGAGUGGCGGACGGGUGAGGAAUACAUCGGAAUCUACUUUUUCGUGGGGGAUAACGUAGGGAAACUUACGCUAAUACCGCAUACGACCUACGGGUGAAAGCAGGGGAUCUUCGGACCUUGCGCGAUUGAAUGAGCCGAUGUCGGAGUAGCUAGUUGGCGGGGUAAAGGCCGACCAAGGCGACGAUCCGUAGAUGGUCUGAGAGGAUGAUCAGACACACUGGAUCUGAGACACGGUCAAGACUCCUACGGGAGGCAGCAGUGGGGAAUAUUGGACAAUGCGCGAAAGCCUGAUCCAGCCAUACCGCGUGAGUGAAGAAGGACUUCGGGUUGAAAAGCACUUUUGUUGGGAAAGAAAAGCAGCAGGUUAAUACCGCGCUGUUCUGACGGUACCCAAAGAAUAAGCACCGGCUAACUUCGUG